GAUGAACGCUGGCGGCGUGCCUAAUACAUGCAAGUCGAGCGAACAGACGAGGAGCUUGCUCCUCUGACGUUAGCGGCGGACGGGUGAGUAACACGUGGAUAACCUACCUAUAAGACUGGGAUAACUUCGGGAAACCGGAGCUAAUACCGGAUAAUAUAUUGAACCGCAUGGUUCAAUAGUGAAAGACGGUUUUGCUGUCACUUAUAGAUGGAUCCGCGCCGCAUUAGCUAGUUGGUAAGGUAACGGCUUACCAAGGCAACGAUGCGUAGCCGACCUGAGAGGGGGUGAGCCGCCACAGGAGAAGAGACACGCUGCAGACACUCACAGGGGGGACAAGAGGGGAAAAUUCCCCGAAGGGGGAGAAAUUGUCGGGGCGCAGCGCCGCGUGAGUUAAAAGGCUUUGCGGAUCGAAACUCUCUUUUAUUGGAAAAAAAAAAAUGUAAAAAUAACUAUGCGCGUUUAGAGGACACAUAAAGAAAACCCCGCGGAAAACCAC
Molecule: ribosomal RNA, 496 nt
Filed under: uncultured bacterium
Lineage: Bacteria
Description: partial 16S ribosomal RNA
Rfam family: Bacterial small subunit ribosomal RNA
Source: RNAcentral